This is a long non-coding RNA of Ictalurus punctatus (channel catfish), 478 nucleotides long. NCBI's taxonomy places the organism in Eukaryota, Metazoa, Chordata, Actinopteri, Siluriformes, Ictaluridae. The record is from Ensembl.
CGAGCACGGCUGCACUGAAGGCACAGUCUUUCGGAUAUAAACUUAUGGAAAAGAUGGCAAGGUGAAGGAUACAGGAUGAGUGUCGACGCUUCUCCAGAUGGUGUUUGCACUGUGGGAUGAGGGUGGCGAGGGAGCACCUGCACAUCUCAUCGUGUGUUGGGAAUGCAGUAUCAUAAGAUAUAGGGGUGAAUAAAACCCAAUUAGUUGAUGGACGUCGACGUUCAUGCCUGUUAAAAGAUUAUGCUUUCACAGUGUGAGGUAGUAGAUUGUAUAGUUGUGGGAUAGUGAUUUUAUCCUGUCUGGAAGAUAACUAUACAACCUAUUGCCUUCCCUGAGGGGCGGAGAUUCACAGUCAGUUUACCUCUUUAAAAUGAACUGUUUGUUAACGAAUAAAUAUAUUAUUUUAUUUGUGUAUGUAAGUGCUUGUGUGUUUCUGAAUUAAUAAAUGCCAUUCAUUGUGUCUCAUGGCCUAUUAUCU